CUGAGUUCGGGGGCAAUCCCAGUCCCGACCUCCAACCCUUUGUGAAUAUAUCUUGUUGCUUCGGGGGCGACCCUGCCGUUCGCGGCAUUCCCUCCGGAGGUCAUCAAAACACUGCAUUAUUACGUCGGAGUAAAAAGUUAAUUUAAUA
RNAcentral lists this unclassified non-coding RNA (148 nucleotides) under uncultured Mycosphaerellaceae. Lineage: Eukaryota; Fungi; Ascomycota; Dothideomycetes; Mycosphaerellales; Mycosphaerellaceae. The record is from RNAcentral.